AGAUUGAACGCUGGCGGCAGGCCUAACACAUGCAAGUCGAGCGGCAGCACGGGUACUUGUACCUGGUGGCGAGCGGCGGACGGGUGAGUAAUGCCUAGGAAUCUGCCUGAUAGUGGGGGAUAACGCUCGGAAACGGACGCUAAUACCGCAUACGUCCUACGGGAGAAAGCAGGGGACCUUCGGGCCUUGCGCUAUCAGAUGAGCCUAGGUCGGAUUAGCUAGUUGGUGGGGUAAUGGCUCACCAAGGCGACGAUCCGUAACUGGUCUGAGAGGAUGAUCAGUCACACUGGAACUGAGACACGGUCCAGACUCCUACGGGAGGCAGCAGUGGGGAAUAUUGGACAAUGGGGGCAACCCUGAUCCAGCCAUUCCGCGUGAGUGAAGAAGGCCUUC
Molecule: ribosomal RNA, 393 nt
Filed under: uncultured soil bacterium
Lineage: Bacteria
Description: bacterial SSU rRNA
Rfam family: Bacterial small subunit ribosomal RNA
Source: RNAcentral